CCUACGGGAGGCAGCAGUGGGGAAUAUUGGACAAUGGGCGAAACCCUGAUGCAGCGACGCCGCGUGAGGGAAGAAGGAAUUCGUGAUGUAAAGCUCUAUCAGCAGGGAAGAAAAUGACGGUACCUGAGUAGGAAGCCCCGGCUAACUACGUGCCAGCAGCCGCGGUAUUACGUAGGGGGCAAGCGUUAUCCGGGUUUACUGGGUGUAAAGGGAGCGUAGACGGCAGUGCAAGUCUGGAGUGAAAGGCGGGGGCUCAACCCCCGGACUGCUCUUGAAACUGUACGGCUGGAGUGCAGGAGAGGUAAGCGGAAUUCCUAGUGUAGCGGUGAAAUGCGUAGAUAUUAGGAGGAACACCAGUGGCGAAGGCGGCUUACUGGACUGUAACUGACGGUGAGGCUCGAAAGCGUGGGGAGCAAACAGGAUUAGAUACCCGAGUAGUC
Molecule: ribosomal RNA, 440 nt
Filed under: uncultured bacterium
Lineage: Bacteria
Description: partial 16S ribosomal RNA
Rfam family: Bacterial small subunit ribosomal RNA
Source: RNAcentral